RNAcentral lists this ribosomal RNA (253 nucleotides) under uncultured bacterium. RNAcentral describes it as "partial 16S ribosomal RNA". It matches the Rfam family "Bacterial small subunit ribosomal RNA", at positions 524 to 776 of the family's 1533-position model. The record is from RNAcentral.
UACGAAGGGGGCGAGCGUUGUUCGGAAUUACUGGGCGUAAAGGGCGCGUAGGCGGCCUGCUAAGUCGAACGUGAAAUCCCCGAGCUCAACUCGGGAACUGCGUCCGAUACUGGCAGGCUUGAAUCCGGGAGAGGGAUGCGGAAUUCCAGGUGUAGCGGUGAAAUGCGUAGAUAUCUGGAGGAACACCGGUGGCGAAGGCGGCAUCCUGGACCGACACUGACGCUGAGGAGCGAAAGCCAGGGGAGCAAACGGG